CCAUGGUCCGCCCCCCCCCUCCCCCUGCCCCUAGGACUUACCAGCUUGGAGUUGGCUGCAGCUCCCUGCUGCAGCCACCGGGGACUGCCUGAAUCAUCAAAGCUCUCUGAAUCUUUUCUGAAGAUUUAGUGAGCUUUGAAUCAAUUCGGACCUUUUAAUUGGUCCCCUGAUUCGAUUCCGAUUCGGAGAUUCUGCCAUCGAAUUGGGCUGAAUCUCCUCUGAAUCAAAUCGCCACCCAAAGCUUCACACAGCCCUACUACAUAUUACACGGCUUCCAGGCAGGGUAGGUCUGUCAUGGAAACUCACAUUGUCUUGAAGUUGCUGGAAGAGCCUUGGGGUAAGAAAAAAUAUGCUGAAGCCAGAAAGAGAGAGCUAGCCUCACUUUUAGGGGAGCUGCAGGGUUCACCUUUGCAAAAAGUAGAGGCCUGAAGUCUAGCUUUAAAGGCGGACGCUUUCAGAGGGACUGGAUAAAGGUGGGAGGUCUAACAUGCCCAGUGGACCUGUAACAUAGAUAUCACCCUUUAUGAAAAGUUUUGUUUGAGCUAGGCUGGGAACAAAGUUAAGAAACAGUAGGCUGGGUCCUUUAAGUUGUAAACUGUCAAAACCCCGUGGACAUCAGUGGAGCCAGCAACCAUUUUACAGCAGCUGAGGCUCUUGUGCUGUGGCUAGAUUCAGUUUAAAACAUACUAACGCUGGUAGUGCCAACCCCUCUUCCAGUCCCCACCCUCCCGAAGCAUAUUAAUUCAGGAGAAGCCACUCUGUGUUAGAGGACUUGGAGAAGGAGCAAUUGGAAAGGCAAAGCGAACAGCUGGAGAAUUGGCGACACUGUCAGGUUAGCUGGAGUGAGCAGCAGUGGUUUCUGAAGACCCUAACUAUGCCAAUUUUUUUCUGCAGCUGAGCCAAACCUGAUGCGGGCUGGGAACAGAGUCCGCUUGGUUCCAUGGGUGCAGAAGGGCAAGAAAGAGGUUUCAUAACUAUGUGUAAUAUACUCUAAAAUAGCCAAGGGCACUGCACUUGUUGGCUGAGUGGGAAUGUAGCACUUAAGGAGGAGACAAUUUUUUACAGGUUGUAGCUGGGUGCCCAGCUUCUACUAAAAUUGCAAGGGCACCUUUGAAAAUCUCUUUCUAAUUGCUUAUGGAUGCCAAUUACUUUCCAAUAGCCAUAAGAGCAUUAGCUAUCCUGAUGUGUUAAACUGGCCUUUACUUUCUGCACUUGUGCUUAUUUACAUAUUGGCUGUUUCAGGCAUUGUAUUGUGCUGUAGAGCAGAUACCAGUGAUGCCUCACCUUUCAAGUUACCUUUACCUCACAGUUCAUGGACUGUACACAGGACAGAACUCUGAAGUGUAGAGGAGUUAAUUUAGCUACUACCUCAAGCUAAAAAAUCCUUUGACCUGCCUGUACUAUGCAGGAGGCUGGCUAGAUGAUCAUAAUGGCCCUUGUAGCUUUCAGAUCCAUGACUCUAUGAGAAAAGAUUGCUGCUACUUUUCUGAAAAGCCCCUUUCCCAUUACAAUCAUAGGCCAUUCAGAUUGGGAGCAUCCUCAUUCUAAAUCCCAACACUAAAUAUGAGGUACAGCUCAUUUUGUAGCCGAAAGGAGAACUAUGUAGACCAUGUGAUAGCUCUCCUACAGUGUAGAGGUUAUUGCAUUUCAGGUAGGAUGGUCAAGGUGAUGAAAGCACUGGAUGGUGACUUAGGACAGCUGGAUUCACCUCCUAUAGUCCUGGCUCUGCGACUUCCUGUGUGGCUCUAAGAAAGCCAUAUGCUUUCCUGAAGCUCUUGUUACACUUCUGUAACAGGAGAACAAUGAUACCACACUGGAGUACUAGGAGGAUCAAUAUGCAUAUAGCGGAGAGGCUUUCUGUUCAAUGUUGACGGGGCCCACAUAUGUAGAUAAUUCUUCCUCUUAGAAGCACAUGAUAUACAACAUGUAGCUGAGUGCAGAUCAACAAGUUAACAUUUUGAAAAGGGAGUCUCCUUUUGGUAUGCAUUUGAAAGGUCAACUAACAUUGUGAAUGAAGAGGAGUUCUAGGGUAUGUUUUGUUAAUUUUAAAAGAUCUGCACUGAAUUAAUUUAUUGUACUUCUGUAACUUCCAUGACAUUUGUUCUUUUCCUGGAUGUCUAUUGAAACAAUAGGAUGUGACUGAACCGCUGGUAGCCUUAGGCCCUAUGCAGUGAUUCACUGAGGUAAUUUGCGUUUACCAGAACUCAUGUACAUGUCCUGCCAUGUGUAUGACUGGAAUAGGCAAUACUUGGAAGUCAUACUCCUUCCUCAUGCAAAGGAUCUUACGGCUGGAUAUGGGCCUGCUUUGAGUUUUGUCCUUUUUUUGUUUCCCAAAAAGAUCAUCUCGUUUUGGAAAGAAGCAUAGGAAAUCUUGGAAAAAGCAGAAGCGUCCUGAGAAAAUGUUUUAGAUAAUGGACAGCUGAUCGCUUAAAAAUUUCGUUGUCACCAUAUUGCCAUAGUUUUAAUUCACAAGGUUCAUUUGCAUCCAGGGCAUUAAGUAUAUUGAGGUUUCAGAGCACAAUAUUCUCCUUAGGCACCUAUCCACGUGUCCAACACCUGCUCUGAUGCGCUCUAAUCAGAGUGUGUCAGAGCAGACUUGAGUCUGCUGGAGUGUACUAAUUUGCAUGCUCCAGCAGCCUCAGCAUCACGUGCAUUCUGCGUCCCUGCACUUCGAAAUAGUGGCAGGGGUGCUUUAACUGAAGCUCAUUGAACGAGCUUUAGUUAAAGUGCUCCACCACCAUUUUGAAGUAUGAGAUGCUGCGUACAUGAGACGCCGUGGACACUUUAAUUAGAGCAUCUCCUGAGAGUCUCUCUAAUUAAAGCACCUCCCCCCCAAGCAUAUGUAAAGACACCCUUUGUGCAUAAAGCCUUGUACCUAACAGCCUAUGUGGGAAUGAAGUGGUGGAUCUUACACUGUUGAACAGGGGUGAAUUUCAUCCCUACUUUCUAUAAUAAUAUAUGUAUGUCUUAAUUUUGAAGAAUGAGUAUAAAUUUGUACUUGCUCAAAAUCAUCUCUAGGAAAAAAAACAAGGUUGUGCUUUUAUUGCAGUUUAAGCUGUAACCUGGUGAAGAUUUGAUCUAUUAAGGGGUAGAUUCUCCUAACAAAUGCCUCUCUCCAUCAGUUUUACCAUUAAAAUCAAUGGCACUACUUUAGGAUAAGGUAAUAUGCAAUGUGCAUGUCAGAAUUUAGCCCUAAAGCAGGAUGCAGGGAGACCAUGUGGAAAGUUGUCCAGGUUUCACAUAACUCACCAUAGCCUGUGUAACAAAUGAUGUGAAAGGAUGGGUGGACUAGUAUUUAGGGUGUCACAGAAGGAUUCCUUUCUCUGCUCUGCCACAGAUGUCCUCUAUAAUCUUGCAUGAGCUACUGCUGUCCAGCUUUAACAUGGGAGUCAUACAAUUCUCUACCUUGCUGGGGUGUUGUGAGGAUAAAUACAGCAACGACAGGCAUACAAGUACCUACACUAGACAGCUCAAUAGCAGAAGUACGGAGAUCUCAGGGGGAGAUGCUCAUGAAUCAUAGACUCAUAGAAAAUUAGGGUUGAAAGGGAAGUCAUGUAGUUCAAUGCCCUACUCAAAACAGGACCAUCCCCACCUAUACUAUCGCAACAACCUGCAUUAACAGCCUGCAGCAAAGGCCAGGCUAUGACAUGGUACUGCCAUCUUGACAAGCUGGAAUUGUUAAUCCCCUCACUCAUAUAGGAUCUCAAUAUUGAAGCAUUGUUGGACUUCAGGCUUGCACUACUGUCUUUUUAGGCUGUCCUGUCUCAAUGGGCUGGUGCUUUUUUGGAUUAGAAACUUUGCGCCAUGCAGUUUGAAUUAUUCUGAAGGUAUGAAAAAGUCCCAUACUGAGACACUGAAGAUAAAAAUCUAUUUUUACAUCUAUUUUCUCUUAAAAAAUAAUUACCAGAAGCUUAAAAAUAUGAGUUGUGCAUUCGGCAGUGUUUUCCUCUUUGGUUGUGGGGCAGCUUUUUGAGCUACUGAUCAAUAGCUAGGACAAAGCUACAAAUAAAAGAAUUUCCUGAGACACACUGUCUACUAAAACAAAAUGUUGUUUGUCACCAGUAUGAUAGUCCCCAGAGAGAAGGGAGUUGGCAAUAUUCCUCAACUGCACCAGGUCAGCUUAUCCUACUACCAUUAGCCAUCCUGGUGCAGGCAGCAAUCCUCAACUGUUCCAAGACGCCCUACAAUCAUCUAAUGCAUUGGUCCAUCUUGUAAUCCUCUGACAAUCCAGGUUGCUCUAUACUUUCUUGCUAUGUUAGGCCAAGUCACUCUACACUUCAUAGCUUCAGGGAAGCAGUAAUAGACUUUGAGUGCUCUAGGUCUCUUAUUAAUUCCUAACCACUUCAGGCAAUCGAAUGUAGAAGUUUUAGGAAUAUAUAUUAACUGCAGCACAUGACUGUGUUCAGAGCACCAAAGAAAAAAAAGGAUAAACAGACAUCCAGAUUAAAAUCAGACACACAUAACAACAGAGGAAGUGACCAUCUGGACCUCAGGGAAGCUGAGAACUAAGGCCCAAGCAAUACAGAGGAAGUUCUCCCUUGUUCUACCAUUGUACCUUCCCUUCCUGCCCCUCAGUCACUCAGUUCCAUGUUCUGUUCCCGAUGCGUUCAAUCAGUCUCUCAAAAGGGAGCAUUUUCUGGUAGCAAAGGAACAUAGAAAUGGCUACACUGGCUCAGACCCAUGGUCUGUAGAGUCUAGUGUCCUGUCUUUGACAGUGGCCAGUACGAGGUGCCUGAAAGCUAUAGGAAGCUUGCAGCAGGCAGCUGAGGGGUAAUCUUCCCUUCCCCACCCCCACUGGGCCUCAUCCUGAUCACUCUGAGUUUGAGACUGGUCUAAGCCCUGAAAAGAUCUUAUAUCCCCUCCAAAGCAUGCUGUUAUGAUUUGUGAUGAUUCUGCAGGUUGCUGAUAUCCAUGUAUGCAUCCAAUCCUCUUCUGAAUCUUGCUAAAUUCAUGCACUAAAUGAUUUCCUGUAGUAAUGAACUCCCUCUUUGAGUGGGUGAAAAAGUAUUUCCUUUAAUUGCUUUUGAAUUUCCUAUCUUGUACUUCAAUUGCCCAUCCCCCUUGCUCUGCUUCCAGGAGACAGGGAAGAGAGAAACUCUAACUCCGUCUUCUGUGCAGCACUCAUGGUUUCAUAUAUGCUUAUUGUGUCCCCUGUGAUCUGUCUCCCAAGGUCAUUAAACAGCAUGGAGCCUAGAACAAAACUUUGGAGCACCUGCUGUUAACCUUUAAUAGCAGCCAGCAGCAAAGAAGAGCUACCACAGAUGUUUUGGCCAGGACAGGAGGCAGCUGAAAAAUGAGCAAAAGCAGAUAAGCACCAAUGGGGUCCUACUGCGGUCUGGAGAAAUUUGAGGAUGUUGUCUCCACUGAAGAACAUCUGGAGUGGCAGAACCCCCAAAUAUAAACCAGCCUCCAUAUGCAAUAGUGAAGAUUCAGAGCAGGGUUUAAACAAUGGAAGAUAUGGCAGUGAAGACACUGAUGUCUGUUCAGACAGUUGCCACAUGGCACCUCUACCUUUUCUUGGUCCUUGAUGUAUGGUAAUCUGCUCCAGACUGCGUGUGGAGUGAUUGGGUGCCCUCUGCAUCCUUUCACAGUGACUGGGUGACCUCUGCAUCCUUGAGAAUGUCAGGUCUACCAUGGAAAGGUGUCCAGGAGAGUGCUCUCAGCCUCACAGCAUAAUACUAAAGGGACAUCAGGAGUUAGUGUCUUUAACCGAGGGGUGGAAAGAAGCGGGCACAGGCAUUCCAUGAAAAGCCAGGGCAUGUACAUAGCAUUUGGACUCUUUGAUCAAACUCCCUGAGGUCAUUUUAAAUACUCCCUGUAACUUUAGUGAGGCCCAUAUUGGGUCUUAAAUCCUUUGUGGAGGGGUUCUUGAAAAACAGUGUUACCACUGUCAACUGAGUCCAUUGAGUCUCCUUUCCUAGACUACCUGGAGUCAAGAGAAAAGUUCUUGCUUGCUUCUGAACCUCAGUCAGCAGAGCUUUAUUCUGUGUCUGGCUUAUCACUUGACAGUAUUUGAAGAUGCAUUAUCAAGAUGGGAUGGAGGAGCCUCCAAGGAGCUAUGUUAUAUGCCAGCACCUAUUAAUUUGUGAUUAAAAUAAUAAAUUUCAUAGACACUA
Alligator mississippiensis (American alligator) is the source of this 6116-nucleotide long non-coding RNA. RefSeq lists it as uncharacterized. The record is from RefSeq and is a predicted model, not a curated record. The transcript is spliced from 2 exons. NCBI's taxonomy places the organism in Eukaryota, Metazoa, Chordata, Crocodylia, Alligatoridae.